UACCAGCUCUCCGAGGGGUAGGGAUGAUUAUUGGGCUUAAAGCGUCCGUGGCCGGCUUAGCAAGUCUCCUGUUAAAUUCAGCGACCCAAUCGUUGAGCCGCGGGAGAUACUACUAGGCUAGGAGGCGGGAGAGGUCGACGGUACUUUCGGGGUAGGGGUGAAAUCCUAUAAUCCCGGGAGGACCACCAGUGGCGAAGGCUGUCGACUAGAACGCGCUCGACGGUGAGGGACGAAAGCUGGGGGAGCGAACCGGAUUAGAUACCCGGGUAGUCCCAGCUGUAAACGAUGCGGGCUAGGUGUUGGGGUGGCUACGGGCCACUUCAGUGCCGCAGGAAAGCCAUUAAGCCCGCCGCCUGGGGAGUACGGCCGCAAGGCUGAAACUUAAAGGAAUUGGCGGGGAGCACCACAAGGCGUGAAGCUUGCGGUC
RNAcentral lists this ribosomal RNA (427 nucleotides) under uncultured archaeon. RNAcentral's name for it is "bacterial SSU rRNA". It matches the Rfam family "Archaeal small subunit ribosomal RNA", at positions 474 to 902 of the family's 1478-position model. The record is from RNAcentral.